GGGGGCGAAAUAGGAUCGACGUGCCUAAUAAAAAGAUUGCUUUUACUCGGGAUGAUUCCGCCGAUGGCUUAUGCCAUAUGGGUCAAAACAAAGAAACGCAAACGAUAAUAAUCGUUCUGUAGGUCGUUUAGCUUUAGCAGCUUAAUCCUACGCGGCUGGAGGGUGUGCCGGGCAACAGAAAAACCCUCACU
RNAcentral lists this transfer-messenger RNA (191 nucleotides) under Rickettsia japonica YH. RNAcentral describes it as "transfer-messenger RNA Ricke_heilo_054". It matches the Rfam family "Alphaproteobacteria transfer-messenger RNA", at positions 148 to 355 of the family's 355-position model. Rfam says of the family: Bacterial tmRNA, also known as 10Sa RNA or SsrA, is named for its dual tRNA and mRNA-like properties. Its role is to liberate the mRNA from a stalled ribosome. Lineage: Bacteria; Pseudomonadati; Pseudomonadota; Alphaproteobacteria; Rickettsiales; Rickettsiaceae. RNAcentral also lists the same sequence under 1 other name. The record is from RNAcentral.